This is a long non-coding RNA of Cheilinus undulatus (humphead wrasse), 536 nucleotides long. RefSeq lists it as uncharacterized. The transcript has 2 exons. The record is from RefSeq and is a predicted model, not a curated record. NCBI's taxonomy places the organism in Eukaryota, Metazoa, Chordata, Actinopteri, Labriformes, Labridae.
GAUGUUUGUGUGUCCACAGGUGAAACACAACGGACUCAUCCAGGACAUGGACCACCCCACAGCAGGACGCAUCACUGUCCCAGGCCCCGCCGUCCGCUUCAGCAGCUUCACGCCGUCUGGACCGAUGCCCCCUCCUCUGAUUGGUCAGCACACACUGCAGGUGCUGAGAGACGUCCUCUCCUACAGUGACGACAUCAUCAAAACGUUGUUGGAGGUGAAGGCGGUUGCCCAAAAUGAAGUGUCCUAACUGGCUGGGACUCCCAGAAUGCCAUUUCAGUGAUGUCACAUGAGAGAGAGAGAAAAUGGACGAUCAAGUGACUGUUCUGAAUAAUGAGGCGCUGCUCACUAAUCCACAUUUACUAUUUAUGAUUUUUAACAAGUUUAAAUGGAAUCAUCACUCCCUUAGAACAGCAGACUCCUGAUACCUUUAAAACACUCCUUAUCCUGGUCUUUGUAAAAGGAUAUGAUUCACUCCAGAAGUGAGCCGCUGCUUUUACAAUAAAAUAAAUAAAUACACGUUUAAUGUGCUGAUCUGA